RNAcentral lists this ribozyme (71 nucleotides) under Rodentolepis nana. Its description in RNAcentral is "Hymenolepis nana HDV ribozyme from F. prausnitzii". It matches the Rfam family "HDV ribozyme from F. prausnitzii". The record is from Rfam by way of RNAcentral. Lineage: Eukaryota; Metazoa; Platyhelminthes; Cestoda; Cyclophyllidea; Hymenolepididae.
GGGGUGCGCAGUAGACAUACCUCCACGUGGUGCACCCUAGGCAACGUAUACUUAUACGGCAAAAGGUCUAU